This 1349-nucleotide long non-coding RNA is filed under the name Glycine max (soybean). RNAcentral's name for it is "long non-coding RNA (GMAX_LNC002837)". The record is from RNAcentral. Lineage: Eukaryota; Viridiplantae; Streptophyta; Magnoliopsida; Fabales; Fabaceae.
CUUAAUAAAAAAGUAAUUAAUUAACAAAUUAGACAUAAUAUAUAACAUAGGACACUGAGAAAUCCUGUCUGAUUCAAACGAAAAACAUGUUUAACCAAAUCCAAAACGCACUAUCAAAAUGAUAACAUUAUUAUUCAACCUUCCAACCUUUCUCAAUGUAGAAGAGAGAGAGAGAGAGAGAGAGAGAACUUAUCUGAGCAUGCGUUCCCUUUAGCGUAGCAAUCACACUAUCACUUCAGGAUAAGCUCUUACCCUUGAAAAAAAGCCAUUCUUUUGUAGACCUUUGCUUGGUAUCCAUAUAGAUCAAACUGAAUGGAAAAUCAGAAAAUUAACCAAACAUAACUUUGACUAAAACGAAAUGUUUGUUCAAACCGCAAAACGUUGAAUAAAAAGAUGUCUUGCAACUAUAAUAAUGAACUUCUCACACUGCCCUCAUGAUAUCAAUCCAUAACUUGUGAGGAGAAGAAAUUUUGACAACUUUAUUUUGCACUAUUUGUGCAUCACUUGGAAGGCAAAUCCUGGUCUUUUUGGGAAUGGCUUUCACUUCUGUUAGGAGAAUGGAAAAGUUUAGGCCUAAUUCCCAAGCUGAAUGGCAAUUUCUCUGAUUGGCUCAUGAGUUGCUGUGAUGAUGGAUUGAGAGAAUUUGCCAAGAGAUUUUGAUGAGAACUUGAACUCAGCAUCUGAUAGUGGUUGAUUUGUCUUGCAUUCAUCUCCAUUGCUGCAACAUGAUGUGAAGAAGGGAAAUAUGGCUGUGUUGUUGCUCCAUGAGGAGGACACACCAAAAUCUGAGAAGUAGUAGUAGUAUCACUCCCAGUUGAUAGAGCCAAUGUUGAUGGAAAUGGAACCACAUUGAUGCUGUGUACAUCUGUUUGGUUAAGAAAUCCAUGGUUUUGCCAUUGACCAAUAUUAACAUCAUGAGCUGAAUUAUUAGCCUCCCAUUGGUAACCAAGUGAUGGCAUAAUGUUCAUCAAGCUCAAAAAAGAAGGAUGGUUUGGUCUUGGCAAGAGAUUAUUUGGCAAAACAAGUGUACCACCAUGACAAAUAUUAUUAUUGCUUCCUUCUUUACCAUUACUAUUAUUAUGAUUAUUAUCAUCAUCUCCUUCACUUCUAUUCAUCCAAUUUGCUUUAUCAUCACUAACCAUUUCUCCUGAUUUUGGUUUCCACAAUAAAGUGUUCUGGCCUGAACCUUCACGAGAGGUGCUAACUUCAUUACAAGAAACAAGAGAGGGAUAACCAAGGGUGAAGUUACCUGGAGGAAUAGGAAGUGGUGGAAGUUCAUCAAUUUCAUGUUUUGCUGCAUUGAGCAACCAAUCAACAACCUUGCUUGGUUGGUUGAGUCCAGCCUAUCU